UGUCGUCAGCUCGUGUUGUGAAAUGUUGGGUUAAGUCCCGCAACGAGCGCAACCCUUAUCCUUUGUUGCCAGCGAUUAGGUCGGGAACUCAAAGGAGACUGCCAGUGAUAAACUGGAGGAAGGUGGGGAUGACGUCAAGUCAUCAUGGCCCUUACGACCAGGGCUACACACGUGCUACAAUGGCGCAUACAAAGAGAAGCGACCUCGCGAGAGCAAGCGGACCUCAUAAAGUGCGUCGUAGUCCGGAUUGGAGUCUGCAACUCGACUCCAUGAAGUCGGAAUCGCUAGUAAUCGUGGAUCAGAAUGCCACGGUGAAUACGUUCCCGGGCCUUGUACACACCGCCCGUCACACCAUGGGAGUGGGUUGCAAAAGAAGUAGGUAGCUUAACCUUCGGGAGGGCGCUUACCACUUUGUGAUUCAUGACUGGGGUGAAGUCGUAACAAGGUAACCGUAGGGGAACCUGCGGUUGGAUCACCUCCUUACCUGAAAGAAGC
RNAcentral lists this ribosomal RNA (495 nucleotides) under Salmonella enterica subsp. enterica. RNAcentral's name for it is "bacterial SSU rRNA". It matches the Rfam family "Bacterial small subunit ribosomal RNA", at positions 1050 to 1533 of the family's 1533-position model. Lineage: Bacteria; Pseudomonadati; Pseudomonadota; Gammaproteobacteria; Enterobacterales; Enterobacteriaceae. RNAcentral also lists the same sequence under 1 other name. The record is from RNAcentral.